AGAACGAACGCUGGCGGCAUGCCUAACACAUGCAAGUCGAACGAACCCUUCGGGGUUAGUGGCGCACGGGUGCGUAACGCGUGGGAACCUACCAUCAGGUUCGGAAUAACAGUUAGAAAUGACUGCUAAUACCGGAUAAUGUCUUCGGACCAAAGAUUUAUCGCCUUUUGAUGGGCCCGCGUUGGAUUAGCUAGUUGGUAAGGUAAAAGCUUACCAAGGCGACGAUCCAUAGCUGGUCUGAGAGGAUGAUCAGCCACACUGGGGCUGAGACACGGCCCAGACUCCUACGGGAGGCAGCAGUGGGGAAUAUUGGACAAGUGGGCAAAGCCUGAUCCAGCAAUGCCGCGUGAGUGAUGAAGGCCUUAGGGUUGUAAGCUCUUUUACUGGGGAUGAUAAUGACAGUACCCAGAGAAUAAGCUCCGGCUAACUCCGCGCCAGCAGCCGC
Molecule: ribosomal RNA, 445 nt
Filed under: uncultured soil bacterium
Lineage: Bacteria
Description: bacterial SSU rRNA
Rfam family: Bacterial small subunit ribosomal RNA
Source: RNAcentral